UACGAAGGAUCCAAGCGUUAUCCGGAUUUAUUGGGCGUAAAGGGCGCGUAGGCGGCCAUUCAAGUGACGGGUGAAAGCCCUCGGCUUAACCGAGGAACUGCCUGUCAGACUGGAUGGCUUGAGACCGGGAGAGGUGAGUGGAAUUCCCAGUGUAGCGGUGAAAUGCGUAGAUAUUGGGAGGAACACCAGUGGCGAAGGCGGCUCACUGGACCGGAACUGACGCUGAGGCGCGAAAGCGUGGGGAGCAAACAGG
Molecule: ribosomal RNA, 253 nt
Filed under: uncultured bacterium
Lineage: Bacteria
Description: partial 16S ribosomal RNA
Rfam family: Bacterial small subunit ribosomal RNA
Source: RNAcentral